This 406-nucleotide ribosomal RNA is filed under the name uncultured bacterium. RNAcentral describes it as "partial 16S ribosomal RNA". It matches the Rfam family "Bacterial small subunit ribosomal RNA", at positions 30 to 526 of the family's 1533-position model. The record is from RNAcentral.
AUUGAACGCUGGCGGCAGGCCUAACACCAGCAAGUCGAGCGAGCGGCGGACGGGUGUGUAAUGUGUGGGAAACUGCCUGAUGGAGGGGGAUAACUACUGGAAACGGUAGCUAAUACCGCAUCCCAUCUGAUGUGCCCAGAUGGGAUUGGCUAGUAGGUGUGGUCACGGCUAACCUAGGCGACGAUCCCUAGCUGGUCUGAGAGGAUGACCCGCAAAACGUGAAAUGUGACACGGUGCAGACUCCUACGGGAGGCAGCAGUGGGGAAUAUUGCACAAUGGGCGCAAGCCUGAUGCAGCCAUGCCGGGCGUGUGAAGAAGGCCUUAGGGUUGUAAAGCACUUUCAGCGGGGAGGCGUUACCCUCAGAAGAAGCACCUGCUAACGCCGUGCCAGCAGCCGCGGUAAUUC